CGCAGGUCAGCGCCUCACCGGCCCAGCAUCGACCAAGCGCCAUCUAAGCACUUGGCCGCAGGUUCGAGUCCUGCAGCGA
RNAcentral lists this transfer RNA (79 nucleotides) under Streptomyces boetiae. Its description in RNAcentral is "Streptomyces sp. DSM 44917 tRNA-Arg". The record is from RNAcentral. RNAcentral also lists the same sequence under 1 other name. Lineage: Bacteria; Bacillati; Actinomycetota; Actinomycetes; Kitasatosporales; Streptomycetaceae.